GGGGAAUUGCCUUUCUAGGGGAACUUGAGGGUCAGGUUACUUAGGGUGCUUUUCUACUGUCCUGGUGGAAUGGACUUAGUGUUCUCCAGCAGGCUGUUUUUUCUUCAUGUUUUCUGCUGUUUCUGUGAAAUUUUUUUAGAGACUAUAAGAGCUAGUUACGUUGGUGGUACCUUCUCAGUACAGUAAAACCCUGGUGGUACUACUUCACUGGGAAGUACUUUGGCAGUGACUUAAGUUCAGAAGCUGGCAGGUGAGUUAUGGUAGCCUUGCAAAGCUCUGACUAUGCUUGGGAUGUUCAGAUGAGCACGUUCUUCUCAGUAUGUCUCCAGAACACACUUGAGGUUUUGUCAAAGGUUAAAGAAAUCCUAAGGAGUGUCACGCACAGAUAUGUUGAGAGGAAAGUUAUGGUAGCCUUGCAAAGCUCUGACUAUGCUUGGGACGUUCAGACAAACAUGUUCUUCUCAGUUUGUCUCCAGAAUGCACUUGAGGUUUUGUCAAAUCUUAAAGAAAUCCUAAGGAGUGUCAUGCACAGAUGUGUUGAGAGGUCUGCCAGUAGCUGACGAAGUAGAAAAGUGUGCUUUUCUCUUUCAUUCUUGUAUAGAGUUAGAGGCAAUGGCAAUUUAAUCCGUGACUGAGGGUCUGCAAUGGUGCAAGUUUAUCCUACUACUUCAAGUUCAGUGAUGCAACCUGAGUUUACACUAAUUAACUUUCAGGGAUUGAACCAAUUUAACACUUUUGGACUAUGACAAUUCUUGGAAAACAUUUCCACAGGUUUAUUUUCUUUUGCAUUUGUUUGCUAUCUCCAUCUCAUUCAAAACAGUCAGGACUGCUUUGCUUCUCUCUUCUCUGGAAAAGUUCUCUGCACUAGGAACCAUGGUUAGAAUCAGAAUCCUGAGCUAAGAGUAUGAUGAAAAGUGUUGCACUCCAAGUUGGAAAGUGAAGAGGGAAAUGUUUAUGUAUACAUGAGAAUUGUACUCAAACAGCUGAUUACACCUCUUCUGACACCUCAACAGAUGCUUACACCUUUUAUGGGAAAACUUUAAACCUAAGAAGCAACAGGCAUUUUUCUACGUUUCCCUUGGGGAUAGUAUGUUCUUCUGUAUUUUGCUUCUAUAUAAGCAGUUCAAACUUUUAAAGUCCCAUUGUCAGUCAUACAACUAAACAACCUUGCAUGGCAUUACAUGUUCCCCUCCAGAUAGAUCAAGCCCUGAAUGCAAGAUUAGACAAGUAAAUGAUGCCAACAUGUAAAACUAAUUUGUAAGUACUUUUUGGCGCUUUUUUAGGGACACUUUGUGGGGCUUAACUGUCCUGCAGUGAGAAGAACGUCUUCUGGUGUAAGUCUUCCUUGUAAGUCUUCCAAAGGGAAAUGAAAUUAUCCUACCCAGAUGAAGCACCAUCCAGAAGACACUUGAGUUGUUAGGGCCUGAAUUCUCACUGAAACCAAAGGCAGGGAUCUUACUGACCUGAAGAAAGAGGCUUUAAUCUCUCCUGGCUUGUUUACUCCUGAAGGAGCAUGAAAGAGACGCGUGUCCUUGUAUCUGAAGAGGAGGUGAAGGAACAGCUAGUGCAAGGAACACAAAAAUCCAUUGUGCCAGACUAAUAGGUGGUUGGCUCUGAGCUUGGAGACUGCAACAGAAUCACCUAGAUUAGACUCUGUGAUCUUGGAGGUCUCUUCCAACCUCUGAUCUAACACUAACAGGUCCUCCACUAAGCCAUAUCACUGAGCUCUAUGUCUAAAUGUCUUUUAAGGACAUCCAGGGAUGGUGACUCAACCGCUUCCCUGGGCAGCCCAUUCCCAUACCUAACAACCCUUUUGGUAAAGAAGUUUUUCCUAAUGUCCAACCUAAACCUCCCCUGUUGCAACUUUAGCCCGUUCCCCUUUGUCCUCUGGCCAGGCACAUGGAAGAAUAGACCAAUCCCCACCUUGCUACAGCCUCCUUUAAUGUACCUAUAGAGAUCAAAUAUAUAGAGAGUAUAUAUAUUCUUUUUUUAUAUAUGUAUAGAAAGAAAUAUUUUGAAAUUAGAAGUUGAAACUUGUAAUUUGAAGAUGACAAGAGAAAACAAAAAUUUCAAACUUUCAGCUACAUGUAUGAAGGAGCAUUAACCAAACUUUGUUUGAAAGCAAGCAGAGGCUGGACUAAUCAAAACUGAAUACACAAUAUUACUCCUAGUUCUCAGAGGGAACAUUACACCAUGACUUGGAAUGAUGACAAAAGACUAUGUUUUGUCACUAGGAUAGUUAAUCUGAAUUUUUAGUCCUUCCUCAAAUAUCAAGCUAUUUUCUGAUAUAGAUUUUAAUUCUAACAUUGAAUGUUUGACUUUGAAAACUCAAGUUUUGUUUUCUGUAGAUUUUUUCUUUUGCAUGAAGCAAUAUAUAUUUACAUGUGCAAUAAAAAUGAGAAGUACAUCAUAUGCAGAAUACCAUCAUGAUUUGGCUAUGUUAUGAGGCUGUAUGUAUUAGGCCUUAUAUUAUUUUAAUAUCUUCUGAUGUUUUAUUGGAGUUCUGUAAGAGAGGACUUUCUGUAAGAGAGGUUGCACUCAGUGUAUUUCACAAGGUGGUUGAGGUAAAGCAAACAACUCUAUCAUCAGCUUCAGAUCAUUCUUACUACACUUUCAAAAGAUGUCUAUUAUUUUAUGUAUUUUUUGACCUGAUAAAUAAUUUUGUUGAAUUCUGUUGUGCUCUUAGAAUAAUUAUUUUGCAUUUUUUCAUGUAGUACUUUUUACUGACUUAAGGGAUGUAGCUGAGAUACUUUUAAUGGUUACUGCCAGCUGUUGUGAACCAUCUGAAAAAAAAAAUUUUAAAAGUACAUUUCAAGACAUUUCAAGGUUUCUUUGAAAGAGGUUAUUAACAGGGAUACAGGGAAAUAUAUAGAGGUUUGGCCAUAGGGCAGUGCAAAGGCAGUAAAUUCUCUCUGUGAUUGCACUUGGAAAGACAAUGAUUCAGAAAUAAAUUUUGAAUCUUGGCAAAGGUUUCAAAUCUUC
Anas platyrhynchos (mallard) is the source of this 2982-nucleotide long non-coding RNA. RefSeq lists it as uncharacterized. The record is from RefSeq and is a predicted model, not a curated record. Lineage: Eukaryota; Metazoa; Chordata; Aves; Anseriformes; Anatidae.